Molecule: ribosomal RNA, 401 nt
Filed under: uncultured bacterium
Lineage: Bacteria
Description: bacterial SSU rRNA
Rfam family: Bacterial small subunit ribosomal RNA
Source: RNAcentral
GGGGGAAUCUUGCGCAAUGGGGGAAACCCUGACGCAGCAACGCCGCGUGCGGGACGAAGGCUCUCGGGUCGUAAACCGCUUUCAGGAGGGAAGAAAAUGACGGUACCUCCAGAAGAAGCCCCGGCCCACUACGUGCCAGCAGCCGCGGUAACACGUAGGGGGCGAGCGUUGUCCGGAUUUAUUGGGCGUAAAGAGCUCGUAGGCGGCUUGGUAAGUCGGGUGUGAAACCUCCAGGCUCAACCUGGAGACGCCACUCGAUACUGCCAUGGCUAGAGUCCGGUAGGGGAGCGUGGAAUUCCUGGUGUAGCGGUGAAAUGCGCAGAUAUCAGGAGGAACACCAGCGGCGAAGGCGGCGCUCUGGGCCGGAACUGACGCUGAGGAGCGAAAGCGUGGGGAGCGAA